This 1356-nucleotide ribosomal RNA is filed under the name uncultured bacterium. RNAcentral's name for it is "bacterial SSU rRNA". It matches the Rfam family "Bacterial small subunit ribosomal RNA", at positions 57 to 1398 of the family's 1533-position model. The record is from RNAcentral.
GCAGUAGAACGCUGAAGAGAGGAGCUUGCUCUUCUUGGAUGAGUUGCGAACGGGUGAGUAACGCGUAGGUAACCUGCCUUGUAGCGGGGGAUAACUAUUGGAAACGAUAGCUAAUACCGCAUAACAAUGGAUGACACAUGUCAUUUAUUUGAAAGGGGCAAUUGCUCCACUACAAGAUGGACCUGCGUUGUAUUAGCUAGUAGGUGAGGUAAUGGCUCACCUAGGCGACGAUACAUAGCCGACCUGAGAGGGUGAUCGGCCACACUGGGACUGAGACACGGCCCAGACUCCUACGGGAGGCAGCAGUAGGGAAUCUUCGGCAAUGGGGGCAACCCUGACCGAGCAACGCCGCGUGAGUGAAGAAGGUUUUCGGAUCGUAAAGCUCUGUUGUAAGUCAAGAACGGGUGUGAGAGUGGAAAGUUCACACUGUGACGGUAGCUUACCAGAAAGGGACGGCUAACUACGUGCCAGCAGCCGCGGUAAUACGUAGGUCCCGAGCGUUGUCCGGAUUUAUUGGGCGUAAAGCGAGCGCAGGCGGUUUGAUAAGUCUGAAGUUAAAGGCUGUGGCUCAACCAUAGUUCGCUUUGGAAACUGUCAAACUUGAGUGCAGAAGGGGAGAGUGGAAUUCCAUGUGUAGCGGUGAAAUGCGUAGAUAUAUGGAGGAACACCGGUGGCGAAAGCGGCUCUCUGGUCUGUAACUGACGCUGAGGCUCGAAAGCGUGGGGAGCGAACAGGAUUAGAUACCCUGGUAGUCCACGCCGUAAACGAUGAGUGCUAGGUGUUGGAUCCUUUCCGGGAUUCAGUGACGCAGCUAACGCAUUAAGCACUCCGCCUGGGGAGUACGACCGCAAGGUUGAAACUCAAAGGAAUUGACGGGGGCCCGCACAAGCGGUGGAGCAUGUGGUUUAAUUCGAAGCAACGCGAAGAACCUUACCAGGUCUUGACAUCCCGAUGCUAUUUCUAGAGAUAGAAAGUUACUUCGGUACAUCGGUGACAGGUGGUGCAUGGUUGUCGUCAGCUCGUGUCGUGAGAUGUUGGGUUAAGUCCCGCAACGAGCGCAACCCCUAUUGUUAGUUGCCAUCAUUCAGUUGGGCACUCUAGCGAGACUGCCGGUAAUAAACCGGAGGAAGGCGGGGACGACGUCAGAUCAUCAUGCCCCUUAUGACCUGGGCUACACACGUGCUACAAUGGCGUAUACAACGAGUUGCCAACCUGCGAAGGUGAGCUAAUCUCUUAAAGUACGUCUCAGUUCGGACUGCAGUCUGCAACUCGACUGCACGAAGUCGGAAUCGCUAGUAAUCGCGGAUCAGCACGCCGCGGUGAAUACGUUCCCGGGUCUUGUACACACCGCCCGUC